GAUGAACGCUGGCGGCGUGCCUAAUACAUGCAAGUCGAGCGAACAGACGAGGAGCUUGCUCCUCUGACGUUAGCGGCGGACGGGUGAGUAACACGUGGAUAACCUGCCUAUAAGACUGGGAUAACUUCGGGAAACCGGAGCUAAUACCGGAUAAUAUAUUGAACCGCAUGGUUCAAUAGUGAAAGACGGUUUUGCUGUCACUUAUAGAUGGAUCCGCGCCGGAUUAGCUAGUUGGUAAGGUAACGGCUUACCAAGGCAACGAUGCGUAGCCGACCUGAGAGGGUGAUCAGCCACACUGGAACUGAGACACGGUCCAGACUCCUACGGGAGGCAGCAGUGGGGAAUAUUCCGCAAUGGGCGAAAGCCUGAUGGAGCAACGCCGCGUGAGUGAUGAAGGUCUUCGGGUCGUAAAACUCUGUUGUUAGGGAAGAACAAAUGUAUAAGUAACUAUGCACGUCUUGACGGUACCUAAUCAGAAAGCCACGGCUAACUACGUG
This 497-nucleotide ribosomal RNA is filed under the name uncultured bacterium. RNAcentral describes it as "partial 16S ribosomal RNA". It matches the Rfam family "Bacterial small subunit ribosomal RNA", at positions 28 to 507 of the family's 1533-position model. The record is from RNAcentral.